AUUGAACGCUGGCGGCAGGCCUAACACAUGCAAGUCGAGCGGAUGAAGGGAGCUUGCUCCUGGAUUCAGCGGCGGACGGGUGAGUAAUGCCUAGGAAUCUGCCUGGUAGUGGGGGAUAACGUCCGGAAACGGGCGCUAAUACCGCAUACGUCCUGAGGGAGAAAGUGGGGGAUCUUCGGAUCUAACGCUAUCAGAUGAGCCUAUGUCGGAUUAGCUAGUUGGUGGGGUAAAGGCCUACCAAGGCGACGAUCCGUAACUGGUCUGAGAGGAUGAUCAGUCACACUGGAACUGAGACACGGUCCAGACUCCUACGGGAGGCAGCAGUGGGGAAUAUUUGACAAUGGGCGAAAGCCUGAUCCAGCCAUGCCGCGUGUGUGAAGAUGGUCUUCGGAUUGUAAAGCACUUUAAGUUGGGAGGAAGGGCAGUAAAUUAAUACCUUGCUGUUUUGACGUUACCAACAGAAUAAGCACCGGCUAACUUCGUG
This 484-nucleotide ribosomal RNA is filed under the name uncultured bacterium. RNAcentral's name for it is "partial 16S ribosomal RNA". It matches the Rfam family "Bacterial small subunit ribosomal RNA", at positions 30 to 507 of the family's 1533-position model. The record is from RNAcentral.